AACGAACGCUGGCGGCAUGCCUAACACAUGCAAGUCGAACGAGACCUUCGGGUCUAGUGGCGCACGGGUGCGUAACGCGUGGGAACCUGCCUUUAGGUUCGGAAUAACUCAGAGAAAUUUGAGCUAAUACCGGAUGAUGUCUUCGGACCAAAGAUUUAUCGCCUUUAGAUGGGCCCGCGUUGGAUUAGCUAGUUGGUGGGGUAAAGGCCUACCAAGGCGACGAUCCAUAGCUGGUCUGAGAGGAUGAUCAGCCACACUGGGACUGAGACACGGCCCAGACUCCUACGGGAGGCAGCAGUGGGGAAUAUUGGACAAUGGGCGAAAGCCUGAUCCAGCAAUGCCGCGUGAGUGAUGAAGGCCUUAGGGUUGUAAAGCUCUUUUACCCGAGAUGAUAAUGACAGUAUCGGGAGGAUAAGCUCCGGCUAACUCCGUG
This 433-nucleotide ribosomal RNA is filed under the name uncultured bacterium. RNAcentral's name for it is "partial 16S ribosomal RNA". It matches the Rfam family "Bacterial small subunit ribosomal RNA", at positions 29 to 507 of the family's 1533-position model. The record is from RNAcentral.